This 817-nucleotide ribosomal RNA is filed under the name Bacillus velezensis. RNAcentral describes it as "bacterial SSU rRNA". It matches the Rfam family "Bacterial small subunit ribosomal RNA", at positions 105 to 906 of the family's 1533-position model. Lineage: Bacteria; Bacillati; Bacillota; Bacilli; Caryophanales; Bacillaceae. The record is from RNAcentral.
GGUGAGUAACACGUGGGUAACCUGCCUGUAAGACUGGGAUAACUCCGGGAAACCGGGGCUAAUACCGGAUGGUUGUUUGAACCGCAUGGUUCAGACAUAAAAGGUGGCUUCGGCUACCACUUACAGAUGGACCCGCGGCGCAUUAGCUAGUUGGUGAGGUAACGGCUCACCAAGGCGACGAUGCGUAGCCGACCUGAGAGGGUGAUCGGCCACACUGGGACUGAGACACGGCCCAGACUCCUACGGGAGGCAGCAGUAGGGAAUCUUCCGCAAUGGACGAAAGUCUGACGGAGCAACGCCGCGUGAGUGAUGAAGGUUUUCGGAUCGUAAAGCUCUGUUGUUAGGGAAGAACAAGUGCCGUUCAAAUAGGGCGGCACCUUGACGGUACCUAACCAGAAAGCCACGGCUAACUACGUGCCAGCAGCCGCGGUAAUACGUAGGUGGCAAGCGUUGUCCGGAAUUAUUGGGCGUAAAGGGCUCGCAGGCGGUUUCUUAAGUCUGAUGUGAAAGCCCCCGGCUCAACCGGGGAGGGUCAUUGGAAACUGGGGAACUUGAGUGCAGAAGAGGAGAGUGGAAUUCCACGUGUAGCGGUGAAAUGCGUAGAGAUGUGGAGGAACACCAGUGGCGAAGGCGACUCUCUGGUCUGUAACUGACGCUGAGGAGCGAAAGCGUGGGGAGCGAACAGGAUUAGAUACCCUGGUAGUCCACGCCGUAAACGAUGAGUGCUAAGUGUUAGGGGGUUUCCGCCCCUUAGUGCUGCAGCUAACGCAUUAAGCACUCCGCCUGGGGAGUACGGUCGCAAGACUGAAACUCAAAG